RNAcentral lists this long non-coding RNA (1043 nucleotides) under Nicotiana tabacum (common tobacco). RNAcentral describes it as "long non-coding RNA (NTAB_LNC017110)". Lineage: Eukaryota; Viridiplantae; Streptophyta; Magnoliopsida; Solanales; Solanaceae. The record is from RNAcentral.
GAUUAAUUCUUAAUGAAUUGUUUCCUUACAUGGGUUGGUUAGUUAUUUUUUGUCUCAUUUAUAUCCUAACAACUAAUACGGGCCCACAUUAUUAUUUAUAUAUUUACCUUUUUCAUUCUCUCUUUUACUAUUUAUUUUCAAUAUUGAAAAGUCUCUCAAUAGGCAACUUACUUACAAGUUGUCUUCUUCAAAGCAUUACAACAAGCAGUCAUUAUAUUGAAGCAAUGCAAUACUUUUCAUAUCAUUAUAUCAACUUAAUUAUCUUGCUCUAUAAUUUCUUACCCUUUAAUUUCUGCUACUAUCUAUUAUUUCUUGUACUUCGAUUAUUUUAUUUAUCUGUGAUAACUACUAAUGCUUUUUAAACUGCUUUAUCAUGACUUAUUCGCCUUCGUUACUUUUAUUUUCACACUGCACUAAAUUGAUUGAACUUAUAUGUCCUUUUUGCGUACACUCUACCCCAGAUCCCACUUUAUGGGCUUUCACCGGGAAUGUUGUUGUAUACCAACUAAUCAAAUUCUUGAGCCAGUUUUAUUAUUCUACCUUUAUUUUAUACUUUUUCAUUGCAAAUUUGUUGUUGAUAUUAUUAUAUAGGGCCUCUCUGAAAUUUGGCUUUAGGCCCCAAUCAUGUUGAUAAAGCCCUGAUUUAAGGUUAUAAUUGGGAACAAUAUGUGGUUCACUUGUGUUUAAGUAUUAUAAACGAAACUAAUAUAGGGUCAUUAUUCUUUUAUUUUGUUCUUUAUUAAUUUCCAUAUAAAGAGAAAAUUGAUGGAGGGUCAAGAACUGAAGAAGAAGAGAAGUUGUAUUCUUGGCUAUAUGCUUUGGCUCAAUCUGAAAAAGACUUGGUGUAUGAGUACGUUCGAUCCACUGAAAGAGGUAAUUUUCUCUUGAAAAACAUUUCCAUUUUUCUGAUUUUCUAUUUACGAAAAUCAUGGAAGUUUUCUUUAUUUCUUGGCUAAAAAUAAGGGCAGCCCGGUGCAUAAAGUAUUAUGUCCACAAGAUUCAGGGAAGGGUCGUACCCAAAGAGUGUGAUAUAGACAACCUAC